Non-coding RNA from Podarcis lilfordi (Lilford's wall lizard), 1553 nucleotides. The record is from the annotation of a GenBank genome assembly. Lineage: Eukaryota; Metazoa; Chordata; Lepidosauria; Squamata; Lacertidae.
CGGGGCAGUUCACAUCAGCAGGACUUGGCAGUAUUGCUCGCAUUACACCUGAUAUUUCAAAGGGCAUAUUUCGAUAUCAACCACCAACCGAGGCUCGCCAGUCAUACAUGCCGGGCAAAGUGCUCUCUGGCCCUGCGAAGCUGCAGCUGCGAUCAAAUCUGCUGGCCACCAAACUCCUUGUAGCUGUUUCCUGCUGCAACAGAACCGACGGGACUGGGUCUUGUCCCUGACGCCAGAGGAGACCCUUGGCUUUUAUUGCUGGGUGGAGCCAAGCUGAGCCUCUCUCCUCACCCCCACCCGGUGCCUGAACAGAGCCCACCACCCAUGAUUUCGAAUCCAUCCAAAUAUUUCCCCUGUUCUUGGCUGAGCUGAAAUUCAAAACGCUUCCAUUCUUUGCUUCGGCGGGCUUGUAUGGAUCAGGUUGAGGAGCCCUUGUUAGAAAGUUAUCUCACUGCCCCAUGGGCAUAUAUUUAAUAUAUCCCCAACCUGCAUUGCAGGGGGUUGGACUAGAUUACCCUCGGAUCCCUUUCACCGCUACAAUUCUAUGAUUCUUUGAGCUCUUAUUCAAGGGGAGCUCUCCAGUCCAGGCGGGGAGGGCUCUCAGCAUGUGCUCAGAGAAUCACACCUCUCUGACCAUCUCAUGCUACAGCACCCUUCUAAUUUUGGUACUUAAAAAAAUAAAAUAAACCCCGGUCCCCUCCAUCUCUUGCUUCGCGAAACUUCUUGUCUGAUAAAGUUCUAGAAAGCUUGUCUCGCUUUCUGAGGCAUCUUUGGCUGGUGAACUUCGGGUUUUGGAGUUUCCGCUUGUUUCAAGUGUACCACGGUUGGGUCCAAGGCAGCAAGAGAUACUGGAUCUCUGAAAGUCGAGGACACCUUUACCCAGGGCUAUAACGCUGCGCUCCUCUUCCACCCGGUAAGCAACUGUAGAGUAGAGUAGUAGUCCCAACAAAUAUAAUAGACUCCGCAUUCCAAGGCGGUUGAGGUCAGAAGCACCAUUGGACUGACGUGUCUGCGUGCUGUUGCCAUAAGUUCUUUCCUCUUCCUCUCUCUCAAAAUAUCUUUAUAGGCAGCGAUGGUGGAGUGGUUAAGACUGUCGGAGGAGGAUCUGGGAGACGAGGGUUCAAAUCCCGCUGGGCCAUGGAGCUCCCUGUGUGUCCUUGGGUUAGUCACUGCCUGUCAGGUCGACCUACCUCAAAGGGCUGUUGUGGGGAUAAAAUGCGGAGGAGGAGAACCAUGUACACCACCUUGAGCUCCUUAGAGGAAAAGAUGAGAUAAAAACGCAAUAAAUCAAUAAGAAUAUAUGUUCUAAGAGAUUAGGGUACUAUCCCUGCGAUAAGGAGUGGGAUGGGAUCCGGAGGGGGGACAGACUUCAGCCUUCACCUGCUUUCUUUUUUACUAGAUCCCCCAAAUCGAGCCAGGUGCAAGACACAUCCAUUGGGACGAACGUAUUCUGAGCCGAGGAAUAUGAGCUGCAGAACUGAGCUGAGUUCAAGUCCUUCUUCCACGCAAAGAUCUGCUCCAGCUCUCUUCAUUUCAGUCCUUUCUUUUAACGG